Physeter macrocephalus (sperm whale) is the source of this 3783-nucleotide RNA transcript. It is a transcript of the gene named EF-hand calcium binding domain 12, with no coding region annotated. The transcript is spliced from 9 exons. Lineage: Eukaryota; Metazoa; Chordata; Mammalia; Artiodactyla; Physeteridae. The record is from RefSeq and is a predicted model, not a curated record.
GCCGAUGCAGGGGACACGGGUUUGUGCCCCAGUCUGGGAGGAUUCUACAUGCCGCGGAGCGGCUGGGCCCGUGAGCCAUGGCCGCUGGGCCUGCGCGUCCGGAGCCUGUGCUCCGCAACGGGAGGGGCCACAGCAGUGAGAGGCCCGCGUACCACACACACACACACAAAAAUCACUUUCCUCAGUUAUUAAUAAUACGAAGCAAAUUUCUAUCAACCUUGCCUGAGGGAAGAUUAGACCUCCUGUUGUCCUUCUAUAGAAAAUGAUAUCACACAAUUGUUACAUGAAGAAGCAAAGAGUUUUCGGCCACACAUGUCAGAAAAGAUAUGAUAGGGUAAACUAGGCAGUUAAUUAAUAAAGUAUUUUUAUUAAAAAACGCUAACCUCCAAAGAAAAAUAAGAUUAUUUUGUCCUCAUGUGUCCCUGAUGACUGUCUGCUGGCUUUUAGGAAUUGGAGAUUUGACCAUUUGAUAACCUAAUGUGCAUAUCUGCCUGUAGUUCUGUUGCAGAGUGUUGGCUUUGGGCUCACGCAUUUACCUUGAUCCCUAUGUGAAAACUCGAGCAUUUACCCAUCUCCCUUCUUCCAGCUGGAGGACAGGAGCUUUUAAGUUUUAUGCCAUUUUUAAAACAGGUAUUAUAAUGGUAUAGCUCAGAUACUGAAACAUUUACUUUAGAAGGAACUCACAAAACAAACAAAAAAUCUAAGUUAUUAAAUCUUGAUUAUCCAUUGUCAUUUUAAGGCAUAAUUUGGAAAUUAAAUUGAUCAAAUAAAUGAAAAAUUGUUAGGGAAACUACCUUUGAUGUAGGGUAGAGUGUGAACAGAACCAGGAUACAGUGUGCUGCAGAGCUAGUUGGUUGUUUCCACUAUAGUGAGUGAGAUUCAUUUUUUAGAGAAGGAUGGAUUUUGACCAUCCUUCAGAAUCCAGGAACAGGAAAACUGGCCACACACACGCACACUUCCAAGGCAAACAUCCACUUCAUAACCUCCCAUCACAUUUUUAUUUAACACAUAUCAGAGUAGCAUUCACUAAGUGCAAAGCUCUGUGCCAGGGAGGGGCACAAAGAUGAAAAGGCUCUGUAGAGACCCUCAUGGGACAGAGAAAGGGACAAACAAUAAUGAAAGGUAACAAAAGGGGUAAGGUGUGGGGACACGGUGCCCAACACUGCAGCGAAGAGUCCAGAGGGGCCCCUGCAACCCUGGACAUACCUGGGGUCAGAGGGUAGGGCAGGCAGCACAAGCUUGGGGCAUCAGGUGUGGUGUGGCGGUGGGACCUGCUGUCCAGUCCAGGCCCAGCAUCUCCAUCAAGACUGGGCCUGCGGGUGCAGCAGGGGAGCUGUGCAGCAGCCAGGCCGGGCUUUUCCCCUUUCCUGCAGGUGAGGUUGCCUGGCCUCUGUUUCCUCAUCUGUUGAGAACGGAUCAGUGGUGCCUACCUCACACAAUUAUGAUUAUUAAGUUAAUGUAUGAAAUUGCUUAAAUGGAGCCUGGCUUACAAAAGUGCUACAUUAAUGAGGCCCAUAGGGAUGGUCUGAGUGAUGACCUCAGGUUGUUGAGAGGGUCACAAAAAUAACGCAUUUCAGUAAGGAUGGUACCUUAUGCAGAGUAAGCACUCAAGUGUUUGGGUCUUUUCUAACUUCUUUGAGACAAAAUCCACAUAACAUAAAAUUGAUUUAACCAGUUUUUAAAGUGUACAAUUCAGUGGUUUUUAGCACAGUCACAGUGUUGUGCAACCAUCAUCACUAACUCCAGGAUAUUUCCAUCACCUCAACAAGAAACCCCUUACCUGUUAGCAGUCAAACCAACGAUCCCUCCCUCCUGCAGCCUCUGGCAACCCCUCAUCUGUUUUCUGUGUCUAUAGAUUUGCCAGUUCCGGGCAUUUCUUACAAAUGGAAUCAUAAUCUGUGGCUUUUUGUGUCUGGCUUCUUUCACUCAGCGUAUUUUGAAGGUCCGUCGUGUUGCAGUAUUACCGACCCAGGUUCUUAGACUCUUUAAUCAACAGAAAUUGACAAGAGGCCAGAUGAGAAAUGCAGGGUUCUACCAGUCUAAGUCCUUGGUUGACGAUGAAAGUGCCAGCAAGGAGCUCGUGUUCAACCCUGAAGCUGUCAUCGCCCGCUGCUUCAAGCAGUUCAAGCAGGAGGACUUCCACCCGCCUCAGAGCCCCCGGAGGAUCAUCAUCUUGCCUCGAAAGGAGGCUCUGGUGCCCGUCAAUCCCACCCCCCAACCCCAGGCUCCCCCCGAGCCCACCCCCAGCUCCAAAGCCCUGGAAGCUGGGGACAUCCAAGAACAGCCAGAGGACCCAAGGGCCUGGCUGACCCAGAGGCUGAGGGUUCGGCAGGACCUGGAGUCACCUGGCAACAUAGAGAGGUGGCUGCAGAACAAGUCCAGACUCACGCCUUCGGAGGCCAAGGUCUUACACGAGAGCCACAAGGAGCAUGAGGCCCGGCUGAUGGGCCAGCUGGCCACUACCAGAGACACCAAGAAGAAAAGCCUGCGACCCCUCCACCGGCAGGUGCCCCAGCUACAACUGCCCAAACCCUCUGCCCUGUCGGCCUUGUACUCUUACCUGUGCAGCCACAAGAUCAAGAUCCAGGAGAUAUUUCACAAGGUGGAGCAGGGCAAGAACCAGAGGAUCUCCAGGGAGGAGUUCAUCACGGCUCUGAAGGUGGUUGGAGUCCCUCUGAAAAGCCAGGAGGUGGAGGACAUCGUGAUCUAUCUCAGCUCUCUGGGAAAGCACAACAGCAUCACCGUGGAUAACCUGGCCAGCAUCUGCAAGCAGUGGUCUUUGGCUCAGCAGAAAAGCACCCUGGCAACUGCAAAAGAGAGUACAUAUCCACCUCCACCCCCGUGCCUCCACUUCUGCAUCCUGGGAGCCAGUGUGAUGGAGGCAGCCUUGGCUCACUUGAGUGUGUUCUCCACCUCUGUCUUACUACUACAGGUCUGCCAAGGACAGUGGUUCCCCACAGAGUCCAUCCGAGAAGCAGCAGGUGAAUUUAGCUCCAGAGCCUCUCAGGAUGGACCUGCUGACCGUGCCCGUGGUCAACACCGAGAUGGAGGCACGGCCCAUGACCCUGGAGGAGAUGGAGGAUGUGGGCAAGCGCUCCCCAUCCCCUCCAUCCAGUACACGGAGCAGUGCCGCCUGGUGCACAGCGGGAACAAGCACUUUGAUGAGCGCUGCCUCCCGUCCACCUCCCACGGGGAGAUGCAGGCGGUCCCCAACCGGCACCUUUCUGGUCUACCUGCAGUGCUGGAAGCUCUGCAAAUCCUACAGCCUCCCGCUGACCGAGGACAUCCUCGUGAGAGCCCUGAUGUACCCGGAGGACAAGAUCAUUUUCCAGAAGGACCAGGUGCGUCCAAUCCGGCAACCGGGAGGCUACUGCUCGGACCUGAAGAUCACCAGUCCGAACCUGGCCCUGCUCCGAUCCCAGGGCGUUUCCAGCCCUGUGGCUCAGAAGCCUGGCAAGCUGAGUGUCGGCCCCCUCCUCCCCUGCCUGCGCUCCUGCCCCACUGCUGCCCCUUUGCUGGGGGGCUGGGGGUCACGUUGUGCCAGUGUCUGUGUCCUAACCUGGCAUGUCCAACCCAACUGAUCAACAUGGACUGGCCAUGUGUCCCCGGGCACAUGUCUCUGCAGCCGCCUUGCCUCGUUCCCACGCAGCCACCCUCCUGACCACAUCCUGUGUGACCUCAAGCUCUCUGGAAAAGGAACAUGCUGAAGAAAAUCAAGAAAGUCAGCUUUAAGAAGUUUGAGGAAUUCACCAGGAAGCUGAAGGUGAAGAGGCCCAGUGGUCC